This 5111-nucleotide long non-coding RNA is filed under the name Sus scrofa (pig). Its description in RNAcentral is "lncRNA (ENSSSCG00000053181.1)". Lineage: Eukaryota; Metazoa; Chordata; Mammalia; Artiodactyla; Suidae. The record is from RNAcentral.
ACCCAACACUGUCAGAAACAAAAAUCUUAGAAAAUUAUUUCAGAACAAACUUCUUUCAUCAUAUCAGUGUCCUUUAUAAUAAAAUAAACAAAGAGGGAGAAACAGGAAAUGGGAGAUUAAAAUGAAUCUUCCAUUUCAAGAAAAAAAAAUCAUUUCUAAAAGUUUACAAGCAGGUCUCUCUUGGAUCUCUACAAAUGUCUCUGAAACAUUGCUGGUUAAAGCUCUUCGAAUAUGAUAGCCUUCUCCCCCACUCCCUGGAUAUGCAUUUCCUUCCUCUCUGUUUUUUGGUUUUUGGUUUUUGGGUUUUUUUGUUUUUGUUUUUGUUUUUUGUCUUUUGUCUUUCUAGGGCCGCACCUGCAGCAUGUGGAGGUUCCCAGGCUAGGGGUCCAAUCAGAGUUACAGCCGUCGGCCUACACCACAGCCACAGCAAUGCCAGAUUCAGAUCUGAGGCGCGUCUGUGACCUACACCAUAGCUCACAGCAGCAUGGGAUCCUUAACCCACUGAGCAAGGCCAGGGAUCAAACCUGAAACCUCAUGGUUCCUAGUCAGAUUUGUUUCUGCUGCACCACGAUGGGAAUUCCCCUCCCUCUCUUAUAAACAUAAUCUUUCUUUGAUGUUCAAAUAGACUCAGUGACUCUGGGGUCUCCUUGGGGUGGGUGCCCACAGAAGAGCCCUGUUCUUCACAGAAGCUGGGAAACCCUUCAGGGUGGGUGGUGACUUGCCAUAGACAAAAGGAGCCAGGUGGUGGGAGACCAUGGGACAGAAGAUGCGGUGAGUGGGAGGAAGCAUCCACUAGGAAACCUCACAAAUGUGAAUAGUUCUACUAUCUGGGUGGGAAGCUGCUCAUCAGUGUUUUCACAAGUGAGACCAAAAAACAAAACAAAACAAAAAACAAAAAAAAACACCUACUUCAAAUGCAAGCAUGAGUGAUGUUUAGGAUUCGACCUGUCUGCAUACGAGUGAAAAUCCAAAACAAUAGUGGCUUAAAUAGUGGCGAAGUUUCUUUCCCUCCUAAAAGCAUCGAGAGGGAGGGAGUCUGGGGCCAGGAAUGAUGGCUCGGCACAGUUGGCAGGUACCCAGGCACCUUCUGUCUUAUCACUCUGCCAUCCUCAGCUCACAGCCCAUUGUGCUUAUUUGAGUAAGUUUCAGCCUUAAUCAAGUCUAGAUUCUUGCCCAGGAGAUGGAGGAAGUGGUGAAGAGAGCCUUCCUUCUAAUAAACCUAAGUUGCUCGUGACCCUCCUGUGCAUGUCGCACCGGUCAGAACACGUUCUCGUGACCACACCUUGCUACGAGAGAGGCUGGAAAAUGGGAUACUUAUUGCUCGAAGCUGUUGCACAGCGAGGAAAGGGAGGGCGGAUAUGCAGGUCAAUGAUUAGCAAUCACUGCCAUGGGGAAGUUAUCUCAGAAGGUAGGACUUGGGGAGGUUUUUGGUUUUUGUUUUGUUAGCACAAGUACCACAAAUCCUUCUAUAUGAGACUUUUUUCAGCCCCCAUCCAAUCAUCUCUCUUAAUCAAUACAACUUCCCUGGUUUUGUGUUAUUUCUACUUUAUAAACCAAAGUAGAAGGAUCCCAACAGUUUGUGUCACUUACACAAAGCAGCUCCAUAAACUAUGCUGUUGGCUUCCAAAUUCAUUGGAAUCAGCCCUGUGUGGUUGCAAAGCCCCUUUGUCUGCAGCAACAAGAAUAGGAGGUGGAUGGGCCUGGGGAUGGCUUUUUUUGGUCUCUUGGGGUCUCUCAGCUCUAGGCACGGUCACCUCUUAACAUCUAUGUCUUCCUAAUUCUGAGCCCUGCCAUGCAGGAUUCCAGGAGCCCAUCACAUGGCAAACUGUGCUCAUUACCCCAGCCCUGCCCUAACCCCGGGAUGGCUGCUGGCUUGCUUGUUUUUCUGAGCUGAUGUUGGCAUUGGGGGCAGACUUACUCAACCCUGGUUGCACUCUGUACCCACUUUUGUUGAGGACAUGCAUGUGCUGCUAAAAUGGUGGAAGGCACUUAUUGCAGACCUCAGAGGGCCAGAGAGGAAAAGGAGCAUCAACCCAGAGCUGGGCCCCCCAGCGCCGAGACAUCGGUUGUUAGGAAGGAACACCUGAAAACAAAAAGAAACUGCCUUUGGCUGGCUCUGUGCCCUCUUGUUAUAUGGGUUCUUUUCCUAUUUUCAAAGAACUCUCUUAAAGGAUUAGGAAAUUUAAUGGUUACAUCACUGAGGAUGAGAAAUAAGCCAAGAAGAGUAGCUUUUAAGAAGGAGAUCGGGGCAUUCCCACUGUGGCUCAGAGGAAACAAAUCCAACUAGUAUCCAUGAGGAUGCGGGCUCAGUGGGUCGGGGAUCUGGCAUUGCUUGGAGCUGUGGUGUAGGUCGUAGAUGUGGCUCAGAUCCCAUGUUGCUGUGGCUGUGGUGUAGGCUGCCGGCUGUAGCUCCAAUUUGACCUCUAGCCUGGGAACCUCCAUAUGCUAUGAGUGGGCCCUAAAAAGACCAAAAGAAAAGAAAAGACAUGAAAUCGGUGUAAAGAGCACAGGUGUUCAUGUAUUGCUGUGGGAGGACCACAGAGUUCUCUUAACUCCGUGCACAGUCAUUCCACGCGUUUGGGGCUGAAUUCCCUAGCACGUCUCCCGUGAAGAGGACAGUCUACAGACCCUGUUUCUUGGCAGACCUCUUUUUUUUUUUUUUUCACAAAGAAAGACAAAUAUCAUAUGAUAUCACUUAUAUAUGGAAUCUAAUAAAAUUGAUACAAAAGAAUUUCUUCAUAGAACAGAAACAAACACAGAUUUCAAAAUCAUCCUUAGGGUUACCCAAAGGGGAACCCACGGCAGGGGAGGGAUAAAUUGGGAGGAAGGGAUUAACACAUACGUACUACUGUAUACAAAAUAGAUAACUAACAAGGACCUGCUGAGUAGCACAGGGAAGUAUACUCAACCUAUAUAGGAAAAAAGAAUGGAUAUAUGUAUAUGUAUAACUGAUUCACUUUGCUGUAAACCUGAAGCUAAUACAACAUUGGAAAUCAACUGUACCCCAAUAAAAAUUUUUUAAAAACUAGAGGUGAAAUGCUGGGAAAAUGCUUUGCAAACUGUUAGGUUAGGUUUGUUUGGAUAUAUAUAGUCAAAUUUAUCUGUAGAAAAGUUGUAAUAUGUUAUACUCCUCUCCUAUGCAAGAGAGGGUUCCUUAUGCUCUGGUUUAUCCUAGACACUAUGAUUUUCUUUCAAGUACUGGAAAGUCAAUGACACUGGGUAAUCUUUUAGGAAAGAAACACAGUUGCAGAUCCACCCAAUACUCAAAAGCUUUCCUUCCACAACAGCUCCAUCUGAGAACUAGGGACUAAAGGCUGCCCCCAAAGAAGCCCAACUCAGAUAUAUCUGUGUCUCAGAAGAACCUUUCCUCUCCAUCAGCCUCUGAACACACAUCUGGCCAAACAACUCUCUGUUAUUUGUGACCUAGGCUGGAUUCAGUGCUGACCUAGAUAGAGAAGACUCUGGAUCUCAUUACCCGCCCUCCCGACCAUCUGGUCCUGGCUAAACAGGUUACCCACGCAGUUGGAACCUUCCUCACUCAACUAGCUUUCUUCUUGCCAGGAUUUUUUAAUAUAUAUAGCUAUAUAUAAAUAUAUAUAUUAAACACACACAUUUCCUACCUAGCUCUUUACACACACACACACACACACACACACACACACACACACACACAGAAGAUGAUAAAGGAUUCAAUCAGCUCCCUGGAAGUCCCAGGAGACAGUGAAAAGGCAGAGAAGGGGAGAAAGACUGGAUUCGCAUGGUCAUACGACUGGGGCCUGAGGCGUUGUCUCUGAGUGUUAUCUCACUUAUGUUAAGACCUAAAAUAUUUGUAGUUGGGGGGGAAAUGCCAAUUAUCUUCAAAACUAUUCUUGGCUACAAGUGUUUUUUUCAAAUUCCAAGAAGCAGAUUGUUCUCCCAAGCUCACGAACUAUUUUUAUCUGCAAUGAGGAACACACACCUGUUCCCAUGUUCAUCUAUGUGCGUGGACGCUUGGGUUUGUUGUGUUGAAGGCAGAACUAAGGGAUAGUAAGCUGGAUGUUUUGCCACCUCUGGGGAAGUAUAUUGCUGUGGGACGGACUGUCUUCCUUUAUAGUUACUCAUUUUCUCAAAUGAUAUUUUGGGACUUUAAAAUCAGUCAAUACUGGAGUUCCUGUCAUGGUGCAGCGGAAAUGAAUCUGACUAGCAACCAAGAGGACGCAGGUUCAAUCCUUGGCCUUGCUCAGUGGGUUAAGGAUCUGGCGUUGCCGUGAGCUGUGGUGUAAGUCACAGAUGAGGCUCGGAUCCAGGUUGCUGUGGCUGUGGUGUAGGCCAGGGGCUACAGCUCCGAUUUGACCCCUAGCCUGGGAAUCUCCAUAUGCCGCAGGUGCGGCCCUAAAAAGAUAAAAGACAAAAAAUAAAAUAAAAUAAAAUCAGUCAUACAGAGAAAACAAGCUUAUGGUUACCAAAGGGGAAAGAAAGGGAGGGUUAAAUUUGGAGUAUGGAAUUAUAACACUACUGUAGAUAAAGAGGUGAAAUUACUACAGAUAAAACAGAGAAACAACAAGGACCUACUCUAUAGCCCAGGGAAUUAUACUGACUUGUAAUAACCUUUAAUGGAAAAGAAUCUGAAUAUUUAUAUAAAACUGAAUCACUUUGCUGUACCCUUGAAACAAAUACACUAUUGCAAAUCAAUUAUACUUCAAUUUAAAAAGAUGAAAAUUUAUCAUACAAAGCAAAAUAGACCUAUUUUCAGGACUUCUAUUGUCUGUCGUGCCACGUUGUUACAGCCUCCAUUCUUCUGACACAGGCAUUUAUUUAACCACCAUUAUGGAGAGCCUCCUGUGGGCAGAGCCCUCCACAGGGAGCUGGGAAAGCUUGAGACAAAAUCUCUCCUUUAGCUCUGUCCCUGACCGGCUGUCGUGAAGGGGUCCCUUCAAUUUUCACAGGUCAUGCACCUUUAAAACAAGGCACUUGGCCUUACUGCCCACAGGGGCACUGACUCCCCUGCGCUUGUGGGCUUCUCAUGGUGGAUGCAAGUGGCCUGAGCAGGCUUUAGCUGGCACCCCCUGCCCUGGGUCAGAGAGACACACGGCUCACUUCAGAAGUGAAGCAAGUCAGAGCUGGACAGAACU